UUGAACGCUGGCGGCAGGCCUAACACAUGCAAGUCGAACGGUAACAGGAAGCAGCUUGCUGCUUCGCUGACGAGUGGCGGACGGGUGAGUACUGUCUGGGAAGCUGCCUGAUGGAGGGGGAUAACUACUGGAAACGGUAGCUAAUACCGCAUAAUGUCGCAAGACCAAAGAGGGGGACCUUCGGGCCUCUUGCCAUCGGAUGUGCCCAGAUGGGAUUAGCUUGUUGGUGGGGUAACGGCUCACCAAGGCGACGAUCCCUAGCUGGUCUGAGAGGAUGACCAGCCACACUGGGACUGAGACACGGUCCAGACUCCUACGGGAGGCAGCAGUGGGGAAUAUUGCACAAUGGGCGCAAGCCUGAUGCAGCCAUGCCGCGUGUAUGAAGAAGGCCUUCGGGUUGUAAAGUACUUUCAGCGGGGAGGAAGGGAGUAAAGUUAAUACCUUUGCUCAUUGACGUUACCCGCAGAAGAAGCACCGGCUAACUCCGUG
RNAcentral lists this ribosomal RNA (489 nucleotides) under uncultured bacterium. RNAcentral's name for it is "partial 16S ribosomal RNA". It matches the Rfam family "Bacterial small subunit ribosomal RNA", at positions 30 to 507 of the family's 1533-position model. The record is from RNAcentral.